This 2857-nucleotide unclassified non-coding RNA is filed under the name Leishmania donovani. Its description in RNAcentral is "gene:LdHU3.27.1590(CDS-product:hypothetical_prote in_conserved)". The record is from RNAcentral. Lineage: Eukaryota; Euglenozoa; Kinetoplastea; Trypanosomatida; Trypanosomatidae.
GUGCCCGUGAACCACGGAGCUCGUUCUGCGUAUAUCACAACCGAAAAACGCCUUCGGCACGCUGCCCCCCACCGUUGUGCCCUCACUGCCUUCCACAACGAACCGCUUCUUCGCCCAAAAAGCGGCGCCUCAAAACGAGCGUCUUGUGCGUUUCCCUCGAACACUGUGUUGGGUUUGUGCUAUUUCUUGCGUUGCCGGUCUGUUUUCUGUCUUGGUCUUCCGCGUAUCAUCUGAGCGGUAAGGAAGGAGUGCGCCGUCACUCACCCCACUAUCGCAUCCGCCCCUCGCCCCUCGCCCCCCCUCCCCCGUUCCCUCCUUCCCUCCGCUUCUGUGCCACGCCUCGGUCUCGUGUUUCCAGAAUCACCGAGCGCCAGGUCUUUGUGCGCGUUGCUCAGGGCCGAGAAAGACAGUUAAAAGAAAGCACUUGCCGACGAUUAGCGUGCUCUGCUCUCAGCGAGGAAGCGUGUGCGCAACGGAUUCGCGCACCCUGACACAUCUCACCAACUUUUAUUCUCCUCCGAGGUGCUGUUUUCCGUCAGGGAGCGAAGAGAAUAGAGGGACUCAACAAUACUGAAGGUGCCGUUGUGUACUAGCCCACCGCCAUCCCCCGACACGCUUGAGCGGCGGUCGUGGCCACCCUGGCUUUUUGUUUUUCUCUUUUGUGAGCUGCGCGGCGUCGACGCGCCAUGCGCUCGUUGCUGCUGCGCAGUUCGCCAAGGUUUGCCGCGGCGCAGGUGACGCCCCGUGCCGCCUAUGCGCUGUGCCUGCACACGCCUCACCGCUGCGUUUUCGUCCGUGAGCUCUCCACCCCGGCCACUCUCGAGAGUGGCGACAGCAGCGUUGCUCCUUUCCCUGCCCGCCUUCUCUGGCAGUUCAGCAGCAAGCGGCCGCGGCACCUCGUGCUCUGCGUGCGAGAACCUCUCCCCGCCGUGGCACCCCUCUCCCCGGAGAACACCUUUGAAGACUUGAGCGCUGCUGAAGCGGUGGGGGCAUCUGCAGCGCGGACGGUCGCAGUGGAUGGUGCGCCGCGUGCACAGGAGGACUUCAUGUACGGACGCCUGUUCCUGCGGCCCUACAACGUGGCACAGCUUUUGACAGUGUUGCAAGGCUGGUCCGAUUUGCCUGCCGUGGUGGAGCGACCGCGCUCCUCCUUGACGCUGAGCGCUGUGCCACCGUCGUCCACAUCCGAAAAACCGGCAAACAGCAGCAGCGUUGACGAGCGACCCAGGGAGGUGAUGCUGAAGGCUCGCGUGACGCGAAAGACAACCCUGGCAGCGCCCGGCGACUCGGGCAGGGCCGCCAUCCGAGGAGUUGCAGCCUACUCCACGGAUGCCGAUCCUGGUGCUGAGGAAGACCAACCCGACGCCGUCUACGUGGAUGGCGACAUGAGCACGCUGCAUGUGAUACUUCGCGACGCCGACCUUGUUCUGCUGACUACCCACCUCGAGAGCGUUUUGAGCGACCUCUUCGCCAUUGAGCACUGCAGCCGUAAGAUGGAGCGACGGAAAUCCUUUGGCUCACAGCGCAGCCGAGUGAGCCAUCGCACUGGCGCCAGGCCGAGCUCGUUCGAGAGGUCUUCGGCGAAGCAGCCGCAGUACCUCAGCGACCGGUGCGCGCCUGCUAAAAGAACCCACGGUAACAUGAUGGAAGAGGGUUACCAGAGCCGCCGUCGUCAGCGCGGUAACCGCGGUGGUAGUCGCCAUCACAGCGUCACCGCCGCUCCUGCGCAAGGAGAGUGGAGCCUAUUUGAAGCGGCACCUGCGAAAACUGCGCCAACGGCGGUCACCAACGAAGCGGAGGAUGACGAAUACCAGGAGAUCGUGGAGGAUGUGGAGGAGGCCGAGGACGGCGAGGACGACCACAAAGAUGCCACAGGGACUUGCAGUGGAGCCACGCCAUCGAGCCAAGCUGUGGCCUCCGCGGCCUCUGCUGCGUUCUCGACGUCGUACAUCACCACCCAUACGCGAGAACGAGGUAAGAUGACGAUGGAGUCGGCGGACCGCUAUGCCGAGGCUCGGUUCAUGCGUGAUGGCAGCGUGGCCGCGUCAGAAGUGGAGGAGGUGGGCCGCGUCGGUGAUUUCGAUGUGCGCCGCCGCACCCGUCAAGCGCAAGGGAGCACCGAGAAAGGCGACUCGCGAACGACGGUGCAUGCCACGGCGACCACCGGCGCAUUCCGCUCCACAAGCGGAGAGGUGACCGGGAGCUUCUCGUACGAGAGAUUGUCCACGACGACAGAGGCGACGUCUGCAACGACGGCUGCAGCAGCCGCUGCGGCGACUGCUGUUCCUCUACGUUGCGAGACCGCAGAGUGCGACAGCGAGGCAACCGCUACCAUCGACAUCACGGCAGUCGAAUCGCAGCCGAGUGCAGAAGUGGAUGACCGGAAACCUGGUGAGAGCGAGUUGCACGAGCGCCAAGUGGGGGAAGAGAAGAGUGCGGUGGCCGGGUCUGCCAAACCAACUCGCAAGCGGCAGGCCAGCGGCAGCGCUGCUGCGGCCGGCAAGAAGAAGGCAGCCAAGAGGAAGUCCAGGAAGGCGCCGGCGAAGCGGAAGGCCGCGCCCUCUAACACCGCCUCUGUAUCCGCGCCCCAAGGAACGGCCGAGUUUGCAGACACUAGGGUACUCUAGGCUGCCGUUGCGCUGUUGUGCCUAGCGGGUCGCAUUCAUGAUAAGUCGCCUGCAACUGUCUGUGAGCGUGUGUGCAGUUGCCUGCCCUGCUGUAGAAUCGGCUGUGGCAGGAGGCACCCGAGCAACGAAAAAGGGAGGGGGGGAUGUUGUGCGUAUACACCACAGCCACGAUAUACAGGCGCUUCUAGCUGAAGUGCUGUAUCGCACGGGACUUCUACCUUUUUACAGAG